UACGUAGGGUGCGAGCGUUGUCCGGAAUUAUUGGGCGUAAAGAGCUCGUAGGCGGUGUGUCACGUCGGCCGUGAAAACCGGGGGCUUAACCCUCGGCGUGCGGGCGAUACGGGCAGACUUGAGUACUGCAGGGGAGACUGGAAUUCCUGGUGUAGCGGUGGAAUGCGUAGAUAUCGGGAGGAACACCAGUGGCGAAGGCGACUACCUGGCCUGUUCUUGACGCUGAGGCGCGAAAGCUAGGGGAGCAAACGGG
This 253-nucleotide ribosomal RNA is filed under the name uncultured bacterium. RNAcentral's name for it is "partial 16S ribosomal RNA". It matches the Rfam family "Bacterial small subunit ribosomal RNA", at positions 524 to 776 of the family's 1533-position model. The record is from RNAcentral.